UCCUAGAAAAAAAAUGAAUUAUGUGAGGUAUUGUUGUAGACUCAUUUAUGAUGAUAUUGCAAUAGUUGAUGAGAUGUUUGACAAGGUGAAGUUCGCCAUGGAACGUUUGUUUAAAUUUUAUGAGAAAUCUUCUCUUGGGUCUUGUGAUAAGAAUUUGGGUGGUCAACUUUUGAGUUCUACUAGUGCUGGUAGUAGUUGCGAUCCUUAUUGCGAUGAGGGAAAUGAAGGGGAAGAUUGCGGUUUGGAUUUCUACGUGCAAGAGCCAUCAUAUGAAGCCUUUCUUAAUGAGGAGAAAAAGAAGUCUGAGGGCAACUUAUCUGAACUCGAUCGGUAUCUUAAAGCUGAACUUGAAGAGGCUCGCGAUCUUGACAUUUUGAUGUAGUGGAGCAUGAUCGAUCAAAAGUUUAAAAUUCUAUCUUUGAUGGCUCGAGAUAUUUUGUCUGUUCCUGUAACUACUGUUGCUUCAGAGUCUACCUUCAGUACAUCUGGUCGUGUGCUUGAUGGCUUUAGAAGUUCUUUGACUCCUAGAGUCUUGGAAGCUUUGAUUUGCACUCAAGAUUGGUUGAGAGCGGUUAUCGAGCCGAUUAAUAUUGAAGAGUGCAUCGAGAAUGCGGAAAAGUUUGAGUUGGAUAUGAAUCAUGUUAACGUGGAGAUUAACAGUACAUAGAGUUUACAAGUUGAAGCGAAA
Molecule: long non-coding RNA, 688 nt
Organism: Syzygium oleosum
Lineage: Eukaryota; Viridiplantae; Streptophyta; Magnoliopsida; Myrtales; Myrtaceae
Exons: 2
Source: RefSeq, a predicted model, not a curated record